CAGUCGAACGGUAGCACAGAGAGCUUGCUCUCGGGUGACGAGUGGCGGACGGGUGAGUAAUGUCUGGGAAACUGCCUGAUGGAGGGGGAUAACUACUGGAAACGGUAGCUAAUACCGCAUAACGUCGCAAGACCAAAGAGGGGGACCUUCGGGCCUCUUGCCAUCAGAUGUGCCCAGAUGGGAUUAGCUAGUAGGUGGGGUAACGGCUCACCUAGGCGACGAUCCCUAGCUGGUCUGAGAGGAUGACCAGCCACACUGGAACUGAGACACGGUCCAGACUCCUACGGGAGGCAGCAGUGGGGAAUAUUGCACAAUGGGCGCAAGCCUGAUGCAGCCAUGCCGCGUGUAUGAAGAAGGCCUUCGGGUUGUAAAGUACUUUCAGCGGGGAGGAAGGUGUUGAGGUUAAUAACCUCAGCAAUUGACGUUACCCGCAGAAGAAGCACCGGCUAACUCCGUGCCAGCAGCCGCGGUAAUACGGAGGGUGCAAGCGUUAAUCGGAAUUACUGGGCGUAAAGCGCACGCAGGCGGUCUGUCAAGUCGGAUGUGAAAUCCCCGGGCUCAACCUGGGAACUGCAUUCGAAACUGGCAGGCUAGAGUCUUGUAGAGGGGGGUAGAAUUCC
This 620-nucleotide ribosomal RNA is filed under the name Pantoea agglomerans. RNAcentral's name for it is "bacterial SSU rRNA". It matches the Rfam family "Bacterial small subunit ribosomal RNA", at positions 59 to 670 of the family's 1533-position model. Lineage: Bacteria; Pseudomonadati; Pseudomonadota; Gammaproteobacteria; Enterobacterales; Erwiniaceae. The record is from RNAcentral.